Molecule: long non-coding RNA, 3160 nt
Organism: Onychostoma macrolepis
Lineage: Eukaryota; Metazoa; Chordata; Actinopteri; Cypriniformes; Cyprinidae
Exons: 3
Source: RefSeq, a predicted model, not a curated record
UUUUGUAUGUUCUGUCAUUGCAGUCGAUCACGGAGGAUAUGACAAGUUUGAUCAAUCUAGCAGGGCCGCUGCUGGCCAAAUGGGUGCCCUAAGCAGAAUUGUAUUAUUGCAUUUUUUAUAAUUAUAUGUGUUAAUAUUUAGAUAUUUUUUUAUGUAUAUGUAUAAUUAUAAUUUUAGUACUAAUAUAGAACGAAAGUUUUAUAUUUAUUUAUAACAAAUGAUAGUUUAUUUUUUGAUGUGUAGGCCUACUCAGUUCGAAAAAUUAACAUCAAUACACUAAAUACAUUGACCAUAUUUUCUUCUUUACUGUAGGAAAUAAUGUUUCUAAGAGACACCUGGGGCAUCAUUUAUAAGCAAUCAUUUCUUAAAUGUGCAUGUGAUUCAGACAAACGAAAGUGCAUAUAGGACUAUAAAUUAGGACUAUAAAUAGGCCUAAAUUUUCACUUACAGAUAAUGGAAUUAAAUUCAUCAUUACAUACGUUUUAUUAGCCAUCCAUUCAACAUCCACUGAUCGCUAUUGUAAGAGGAAAUUUUUUCCAUAUCAUCUGAUUUCAAGUUGCAUCAAGUCAGCCAUCGUUCAUAUAGGCUAAACGCAGCAUAUUUUGGACAUACUUAUUAUCACAUUCACAACAUUCAAAUCUUCAUCAGUUUGGUUAGAAGAAGCCAGCUGCACGCAGUCAGAAAGAUCCUUUGGCAGUGUGCUAAAACAUUUUUAAAAGAGCCAUAAUCUGUUGGUUUUUCUACCCGCGAAAGACCGUUAAACUAAAGAGAGAAAAAAAAAUCAUGACAUAAGACUGACAUCACACACAACGUAGCAAUGCAUUAUCCUCACGAACAAAUAUUACAUGUGACGUUUACAUACGUAUACGGCAGUGUACCAUUACGACAUUCUUCACGAACAAAUAUUACGUCUGACGUUUGUAUACGUAUACCCCAACCUUACCUUACUAAGACUUGCUCGCUCCCUGCUCGAAUGCUGUUUUUUGGGGGGUUUUUUUCCUCUGCAGUGCACAAAUAUAAUGCACUGCUAACAUGCAACAGACAGGCAUUGCUGGACAUCGCCAAUUCAGCCAACCAUUUAUACCACCGGAACUACUACUCGCUCCCGCAACCACCUCCCCACCCCCAUGAAGGCCUCGAAGAAAAAUGCACCUAAAGUUGGUUUGCCAUCCGUCAUAAAACGACAUCAGAAGAAGAAGAAGAAGGCCUCGAAGAAGCACCUAGCUCGAGCGAGGAAGCUGACCCGAGGAAAAUGCUCCGGUUAUAACAGCUCAUGAGUACCACCUGACUCCUGUUCAAGCUCGUUAAGUGGAGUACAAAGAAACCCAGAGAACUACAGUCCAGGGAGAGAGAGGCUGAGGCUUGCCGUGUUCAGAGACAUGGCCAUCCUCUGGUCCCAGCGCUGUCGUCACUCUAUAGCAGGGGUUCCCAAAGUCUUUCCUGGAGCCUCCCCAACACUGCACAUUUUGUAUGUCUCCUUUAUCAAUCACACCUGAUUCAACUCAUCAGCUCAUUAGUAGCAACUCCAAGACCUGAGAUGGCUGUGUCAGACAAAGGAGACAUGCAAUGUGCAGUGUUCUAUAGUGUUCAAUUUUGCAUUGCUUAGUGUUGAGUUAAAUCUUUGAUUUGUUCUUCAGCUAAUUUGUUUCACACAAUUUGAGCUGCCAAAGUGCCCCAGUUACCUCUGGUGUUCCUCAGCUGGUUAGUGUUGUAAGCUGUCGAGUGGUGCAGAGUGCUUCAGUGUUUAUUUUAUUUUUAUUUUUUUACUCAUUUAAGAGGGAAUAUUUCUUGUAAGGAAGUGGAUGCCUUUUCUUUUGAAUAAUGCAGUUUUAUCAUGUGUUUAAGUUGAAGAGAGAGUCAGGGAAGGAUCUCUGUAAUUUCUUUUCUAAGUUAAGUUAUUCCUUAAACUUAUAGAAUGCAUACUUUUAUUGUUUUGGCCUUUUCUCCUCCAUAUUCUGUUCAAUAAAAUAACUUUAAACCGGAGUUUAAAGUUGUGGUGAAAUAUUGUUUGAUGUUUUUGUGGUGUUUGCAGUAGAGCCACUGAAAUCAUGAUGUACUUAUGUAAAUAGUGUUAGUGACAGCAAGAGUACUAUUACCUGGAAAUAUUUUUGACAUUGGUCCCCCAAGCAUAAGCCAAUAGUGUUACCACCAUAGAAAUACUGUACUGGGUGAAGUCAGUGAAAGUGGGACACUUUUUGGUAUUACAGUUUUCAGCCAACAAACACUUUCUCACUCAUGAAAUAUAGACCUAAAAGAAAACACUAUGCUACAGUGGGGGAAAAAAUCCAUAAAAAACAGAAAAAGUACUUGCAGCUCAUUACCCGGGCUUUGUACUGUAAUUUAAAAAUAAAUAAAUAAAUAAAAAGCAAAAUACAAUUGUCUGUUAAUUGUCUGCCCUUAGUAAAAAACAGGACCCUCAUACCAUUCCAAACCCAUAAGUCAUUCAUAUUCAGAACACAGUUAAUGAAAGACUACAAAAAGAAAGGACAUUGUCAGUUUUGCCAACGAAUUUAAGGAUUAAAAAUUAAAGAUUCUGUCUAAGAUCUGCUGAUACUUCAUCAUUAAUGUUUAAUGAUGAAAUUUUUCAUAAUACAAAUUUUCAUAAAAUUAAUGCCACUUCUGAUUCUUGUCAAAAAAGUCUGUAAAUAUCCCUUAAUGCCACAUUUGUGCUCUUCUGUUCUUUUUGUUUCUGUCACUUUUCAAAAAUUGCUAGAAUUUGCAAAAAAAAAAUAAUAAUUAAGAAAUAGCUAGAUUUGUUGCCAAGUUAUUUUUGCUAAAUCAAGCAACAAAAUUGCUAGGUUGGCAAAACUGGACAAUAUGGUUGCAAAUACUUUGUUGAUCUGCAUUGACACUUUUUUUUUUUACUUAGAUAAAGAAUGCAGAAACAAUUGAUGAAGCAAGAGAGGCGAUUAUUCAGGCUUCUGAGACACUCACAGUUCUGGGGACAAUGCGUUACAUUUCCACCUUGGGUGAGAGGGACAGCCUCGUAUCCCACUCUAUCCAACAGUAUGUUGAAGGACGUGUACAGACUGCAUUUCAACACUUCAUGGAAGGGCUGAACACACUCAAACUGGCUGAGGCCAUCUGAGCACAUCCAGUACAAUUCAAAGGAUUGUUUUUGGAAAACAGACAGCAGCUAAAAGAGGAAAGCAGGGUGCUG